RNAcentral lists this ribosomal RNA (468 nucleotides) under uncultured bacterium. RNAcentral's name for it is "partial 16S ribosomal RNA". It matches the Rfam family "Bacterial small subunit ribosomal RNA", at positions 28 to 507 of the family's 1533-position model. The record is from RNAcentral.
GACGAACGCUGGCGGCGUGCUUAACACAUGCAAGUCGAACGGAAAGGCCCUGCUUUUGUGGGGUGCUCGAGUGGCGAACGGGUGAGUAACACGUGAGUAACCUGCCCUUGACUUUGGGAUAACUUCAGGAAACUGGGGCUAAUACCGGAUAGGAGCUCCUGCUGCAUGGUGGGGGUUGGAAAGUUUCGGCGGUUGGGGAUGGACUCGCGGCUUAUCAGCUUGUUGGUGGGGUAGUGGCUUACCAAGGCUUUGACGGGUAGCCGGCCUGAGAGGGUGACCGGCCACAUUGGGACUGAGAUACGGCCCAGACUCCUACGGGAGGCAGCAGUGGGGAAUAUUGCACAAUGGGCGAAAGCCUGAUGCAGCAACGCCGCGUGCGGGAUGACGGCCUUCGGGCUGUAAACCGCUUUCGCCUGUGACGAAGCGUGAGUGACGGUAAUGGGUAAAGAAGCACCGGCUAACUACGUG